This 305-nucleotide ribosomal RNA is filed under the name uncultured bacterium. RNAcentral's name for it is "bacterial SSU rRNA". It matches the Rfam family "Bacterial small subunit ribosomal RNA", at positions 338 to 661 of the family's 1533-position model. The record is from RNAcentral.
CCUACGGGAGGCAGCAGUGGGGGAUAUUGCACAAUGGGGGCAACCCUGAUGCAGCGACGCCGCGUGAGCGAUGGAGUACUUCGGUAUGUAAAGCUCUGUCAGCAGGGAAGAGAAUGACGGUACCUGACCAAGAAGCCCCGGCUAAAUACGUGCCAGAGCCGCGGUAAUACGUAUGGGGCAAGCGUUAUCCGGAUUCACUGGGUGUAAAGGGAGCGUAGACGGCCAUGCAAGCCUGGAGUGAAAGCCCGGGGCCCAACCCCGGGACUGCUCUGGGAACUGUGCGGCUGGAGUGCGGGAGGGGCAGG